RNAcentral lists this unclassified non-coding RNA (240 nucleotides) under soil metagenome. RNAcentral's name for it is "partial contains 5.8S ribosomal RNA, internal transcribed spacer 2, and large subunit ribosomal RNA". The record is from RNAcentral.
AACAUCGCGCACCUGCGGGAACCUGCGGAGGGAUCAUUAACACAAAUGAUAAAACCAGCAAUUUUGGUUGUGUGAUACAACAUGUUUCACAACCAAAAUUGCAUUCACCACAAUGGAAAAUGUUAAAGUCCAUUAACAUUAAUGAUAAUGUUUAAUGGUCUUUAUUCAUUUUUACUCUACCAUAAACCACAUUUAACCAUGUACACAUCUCUUUAUGAUUAUAUCGUUAAAUACAAUAUA